GCCAAUAUCUGCCAAUUUCUUGUCCAUUCAACCAAGCCAUUCCUUUUCCCAUAUGAAUCAUAUCAAGUGCAACAGGUUCAUUACCAGGAGGCGCAUCUACUACUGCCUUAUACCAUGUGAGGGGCUGUUGCUUUGGUGGCUGCGAAGUUGGUGCCCAAAUUUUACUCUUCAAGUUAUAUGACUUCUGUAUCCUCAAAUGUUCUCCUUGCAAUCCAAUCUUAUAGGUCCAAGCAGACGCAGUCAAGUCCAUAGUCCCAGUCUUGAACCCUGCAACUUUGACACUUGUUGGACCAGCUCCAAUCCAUUCAUAAAACGCUCCAGCUGUUUGUAGGCCCACAGUCAUGCUUAACAAGGCAAUUUCAUUCUUCCCUGCCUUUAGAGCAAUAGGAGUUCCAAACUUGAACUGUGGCACUGUGCCAUUUCCAGAUGCACU
Molecule: unclassified non-coding RNA, 433 nt
Filed under: Hevea brasiliensis (rubber tree)
Lineage: Eukaryota; Viridiplantae; Streptophyta; Magnoliopsida; Malpighiales; Euphorbiaceae
Source: RNAcentral